This 21-nucleotide unclassified non-coding RNA is filed under the name Mus musculus (house mouse). RNAcentral's name for it is "oocyte_clustered_small_RNA11655". Lineage: Eukaryota; Metazoa; Chordata; Mammalia; Rodentia; Muridae. The record is from RNAcentral.
CGAGCCAGCCCCGACGCCCGA